UUGCGUAGGUGGUUAUGUAAGUGAAUAGUGAAAUCUGGUGGCUCAACCAUACAGGCUAUUAUUCAAACUACAUAACUCGAGAAUGGUAGAGGUAACUGGAAUUUCUUGUGUAGGAGUGAAAUCCGUAGAUAUAAGAAGGAACACCAAUGGCGUAGGCAGGUUACUGGACCAUUUCUGACACUAAGGCACGAAAGCGUGGGGAGCGAACG
Molecule: ribosomal RNA, 209 nt
Filed under: uncultured bacterium
Lineage: Bacteria
Description: partial 16S ribosomal RNA
Rfam family: Bacterial small subunit ribosomal RNA
Source: RNAcentral